UGGGGAAUAUUGGACAAUGGGGGCAACCCUGAUCCAGCCAUGCCGCGUGUGUGAAGAAGGCCUUUUGGUUGUAAAGCACUUUAAGCAGUGAAGAAGACUCCAUGGUUAAUACCCAUGGACGAUGACAUUAGCUGCAGAAUAAGCACCGGCUAACUCUGUGCCAGCAGCCGCGGUAAUACAGAGGGUGCAAGCGUUAAUCGGAAUUACUGGGCGUAAAGCGAGCGUAGGUGGCUUGAUAAGUCAGAUGUGAAAGCCCCGGGCUUAACCUGGGAACGGCAUCUGAUACUGUUAGGCUAGAGUAGGUGAGAGGAAGGUAGAAUUCCAGGUGUAGCGGUGAAAUGCGUAGAGAUCUGGAGGAAUAUCGAUGGCGAAGGCAGCCUUCUGGCAUCAUACUGACACUGAGGUUCGAAAGCGUGGGUAGCAAACA
This 427-nucleotide ribosomal RNA is filed under the name uncultured bacterium. Its description in RNAcentral is "partial 16S ribosomal RNA". It matches the Rfam family "Bacterial small subunit ribosomal RNA", at positions 355 to 774 of the family's 1533-position model. The record is from RNAcentral.